Molecule: ribosomal RNA, 465 nt
Filed under: uncultured bacterium
Lineage: Bacteria
Description: bacterial SSU rRNA
Rfam family: Bacterial small subunit ribosomal RNA
Source: RNAcentral
CCUACGGGAGGCACCAGUGGGGAAUAUUGCACAAUGGGCGCAAGCCUGAUGCAGCCAUGCCGCGUGUAUGAAGAAGGCCUUCGGGUUGUAAAGUACUUUCAGCGGGGAGGAAGGUGUUGCGGUUAAUAACCGCAGCAAUUGACGUUACCCGCAGAAGAAGCACCGGCUAACUCCGUGCCAGCAGUCGCGGUAAUACGGAGGGUGCAAGCGUUAAUCGGAAUUACCGGGCGUAAAGCGCACGCAGGCGGUCUGUCAAGUCGGAUGUGAAGUCCCCGGGCUCAACCUGGGAACUGCAUUCGAAACUGGCAGGCUAGAGUCUUGUAGAGGGGGGUAGAAUUCCAGGUGUAGCGGUGAAAUGCGUAGAGAUCUGGAGGAAUACCGGUGGCGAAGGCGGCCCCCUGGACGAAGGCUGACGCUCAGGUGCGAAAGCGUGGGGAGCAAACAGGAUUAGAUACCCCAGUAGUC